ACCCUGAACUCUCAUUUCACAGACGAAACCCCAUUCUCAAAAUGAGCGUUUCAUCCCGCACCAGAUCCAAACUAAAGGAAGAAGAAGAAAAAUCAAAGCAAGAAGAAGCAAUAUUUCUGUGGCGAAAGCUUCCCGAAGGAUUAUCUGAUGAAAUCUUCUUGAAAUUACCAGGGAAUUCAAUCUUGUCAUCGAGGUCAGUCUGUAAGCUUUUCAAUACUCGUCUUUCUGAACCUAUUUUUAUCAAGAAUCAUGUUAAUCUUUCUAUUCAGAGCAAGAACAGCAAACCCAAACUCUUGUUUAGACGUCAAUCCAUGUUUAAUUCUUCUGAGAUUUACUCUCUACCUGUAGAUAAUGCUUCAAUUUGAUCAUCAUCAUCAUUAUCAUCCUCUUCGUCAAGGGUUGUAUGUGAUGGAGCUGUUCUGAUGAAUUACCCAUUCGAAUCUAACAAAACUUAUCGGCACAGUUUUUUGGGUUCCUGUAAUGGUUUAAUUUGCUUAAAGAUUUGUAGGACUGAUAGAGUUGAUUAUGAGAGGGGACAUGUGGAGACUAAUUAUUUUAGUAUUUUGAACCCGUUUACAAGACAAUUUAAGGAAUUUAGUAUGCAAACUGUGAAUAAAUUUUGGUUACGGCAUAGCCUAUGGAUUUGGUUAUGAUUUCGACAUUGAUGAUUACAAACUAAUAGCAAUUUCGGAUAAUGUAGCUACUGGUUGCUCCGAUAUUGAAAUUUGUACAGUGAGAUCAGGUUUACGGAGUAGUACUCAGGGCAAUGUCAAGUACUCAUUUUACGAUGGUGUAAAAUCUCAUGCCGUGUUUUUAAGUGGCUGUCUUCAUUGGUUGGGAUCUAUUGCCACCCAGGCUGAAGCUGUAUUGUGUUUUGAUAUUAGGAAUGGGAUAAUGGGGUAUAUCCCAUUACCCCAAAAUAUUAUACCCCCUACAGAUUUUUCUGGAGAUGUUGAUAAAAAUGUGGGAGUGUUGGGAGACAGCAUUUGUGUAGGCUUUAUUUGGGAUUCUGUUAGACUUGAUGUGUGGGUGACGCAACAGUAUGGAGUAAUGGAAUCUUGGAUCAAAAAAUUUACCAUGACCCAACUACCGUGCUUGCUCCUAUGGCCAUGGAAACCGCUAUUGUGUUUCGACGACGGGAAAAUUCUCGUAGAUUAUUAUUGCAACCAAUUACUUUUAUUUGAUCCAACAAAUGAAACAGUUCGAUCAGUGGUGGUUCGUGAUAUCGCUAUGGACGACAAUCGAGAGAGUUAUGUGGAGACCAUAGCCUCCCUUGGCUCAAGUACUUUUCUGGAAAGGAAGAUUACAGAUGAGACUAUGAAGAAUCCCAAGCUACGACGACGAUUGAGGUAGUUUUGGAGCAGCAAAAGGAAAAACAGCAAGAGCUGCAGAUGAACAACAGGCUGAAGCACUAGCUAUGUUGGAGGCUGUGGAAUGGGGAAUUGCAAAAGGUAUACAAAUGCUCCACCUGCAAACUGACAGCAAAAAUAUAGCUGAUGCAAUCAACGGUUCAAGUAGUUAAAUAAAUCCAGGAGUGUCUAUCUAGAUUAGUAUUAUUAAAGGAUUGGAAAUGUAAGUCUGUCAAGCGUGAAGCAAAUGCUUGUGCAGACACUUCUGCUAAGCAUGCUAGAAAAGAACUAGUAGUAAAUGUUGAAUGGUUCUGUCCUCCAGUAUUCUUACUGAAUGAUUUCUAGAAGGUUCAGGGUUCAGGGUUCACUCUGUUAUGUUUAUGAUUAUCCAAUGCAAUUUACAUGUAGGUUUGGUAUGUCAAAAGGCACAGGAAUUAUGUAAUGAUUAUCCAAUGAUGAAAGUGUAUGCGAGGUAUGAUUAGCGGGCCUAGGUUCAGGGUUCUGGAUGCUCACUCUGUUAUGUUUAUGAUUAUCCAAUGCAAUUUACAUGUAGGUUUGGUAUGUCAAAAGGCACAGGAAUUAUGUAAUGAUCAA
Papaver somniferum (opium poppy) is the source of this 1943-nucleotide RNA transcript. It is a transcript of the gene named F-box protein CPR1-like, with no coding region annotated. Lineage: Eukaryota; Viridiplantae; Streptophyta; Magnoliopsida; Ranunculales; Papaveraceae. The transcript is spliced from 2 exons. The record is from RefSeq and is a predicted model, not a curated record.